Transfer RNA from Bipolaris zeicola 26-R-13, 86 nucleotides. It matches the Rfam family "tRNA". From Rfam's summary of the family: Transfer RNA (tRNA) molecules are approximately 80 nucleotides in length. Their secondary structure includes four short double-helical elements and three loops (D, anti-codon, and T loops). The record is from Rfam. NCBI's taxonomy places the organism in Eukaryota, Fungi, Ascomycota, Dothideomycetes, Pleosporales, Pleosporaceae.
UCCUCCGUGGCGCAAUUGGCUAGCGCGUCUGACUGUUACAGCAGUAGCUUAUCAGGAGGUUGAAAGUUCGAGCCUUUCCGGGGGAG